AGAGUUUGAUCCUGGCUCAGAUUGAACGCUGGCGGAAUGCUUUACACAUGCAAGUCGAACGGUAGAGGGGGCAACCCCUUGAGAGUGGCGAACGGGUGAGUAAUGUAUCGGAACGUGCCCAGUCGUGGGGGAUAACGUAGUGAAAAUUACGCUAAUACCGCAUACGAUCUAUGGAUGAAAGCGGGGGAUCGCAAGACCUCGCGCGAUUGGAGCGGCCGAUAUCAGAUUAGGUAGUUGGUGGGGUAAAGGCUCACCAAGCCAACGAUCUGUAGCUGGUCUGAGAGGACGACCAGCCACACUGGAACUGAGACACGGUCCAGACUCCUACGGGAGGCAGCAGUGGGGAAUUUUGGACAAUGGACGCAAGUCUGAUCCAGCCAUUCCGCGUGCAGGACGAAGGCCUUCGGGUUGUAAACUGCUUUUGUACGGAACGAAAAAGCUCUUAUUAAUACUAGGAGUCCAUGACGGUACCGUAAGAAUAAGCACCGGCUAACUACGUGCCAGCAGCCGCGGUAAUACGUAGGGUGCAAGCGUUAAUCGGAAUUACUGGGCGUAAAGCGUGCGCAGGCGGUUAUAUAAGACAGAUGUGAAAUCCCCGAGCUUAACUUGGGAACUGCAUUUGUGACUGUAUAGCUAGAGUACGGCAGAGGGGGAUGGAAUUCCGCGUGUAGCAGUGAAAUGCGUAGAUAUGCGGAGGAACACCGAUGGCGAAAGCAAUCCCCUGGGCCUGUACUGACGCUCAUGCACGAAAGCGUGGGGAGCAAACAGGAUUAGAUACCCUGGUAGUCCACGCCCUAAACGAUGUCAACUGGUUGUUGGGUCUUCACUGACUCAGUAACGAAGCUAACGCGUGAAGUUGACCGCCUGGGGAGUACGGCCGCAAGGUUGAACUCAAGGAAUGACGGGACCCGCACAGCGGUGGAUGAUGU
Molecule: ribosomal RNA, 929 nt
Filed under: uncultured bacterium
Lineage: Bacteria
Description: bacterial SSU rRNA
Rfam family: Bacterial small subunit ribosomal RNA
Source: RNAcentral